RNAcentral lists this unclassified non-coding RNA (356 nucleotides) under soil metagenome. RNAcentral describes it as "partial contains 5.8S ribosomal RNA, internal transcribed spacer 2, and large subunit ribosomal RNA". The stretch from base 1 to 120 matches the Rfam family "5.8S ribosomal RNA", at positions 35 to 154 of the family's 154-position model. The record is from RNAcentral.
GAUGAAGAACGUAGCGAAAUGCGAUAAGUAAUGCGAAUUGCAGAAUUCAGUGAAUCAUCGAAUCUUUGAACGCACAUUGCGCCCGCCAGUACUCUGGCGGGCAUGCCUGUCUGAGCGUCAUUUCAACCCUCGCGCCCGGCUUCUGUCGGGGGCGGUGUUGGGGAUCGGCCUCCCGUCUUCCGGGCGGCCGGCCCCUAAAUGGAGUGGCGACCGCGCCGUAGCCUCCUCUGCGUAGUAGUGAAACACUCGCGGGCGGAGAGCGGUGCGGUCCGCCGUAAAACCCCCAACUCUUCUAAGGUUGACCUCAGAUCAGGUAGGAAUACCCGCUGAACUUAAGCAUAUCAAUAAGCGGAGGA